UCCCGCUGCUUCCGCUGCCGCGCUGUUGUCGGCGAUCUUCUUCGAGUCGCUUCCCUCCUCCAUGAUUAACGCCUAACAAACAAGAACAGGAGCAUAAUGACAUGAUCGAUCCACAUAGACGGAGAGCAAAGAAAUAAAAGAUCAGAUGGACAUAUUUGAUCAGCAAAUGAUACAUAAAAGGAGUAGCAAGCUGCAUGCAAGUUUUUUGUUUAGCUGAUAUGAUCAUGCUUGAGAAAAUUGGCCUUCAUGGGUUGAAUGUGAAGAUCAUCUCUGCAGGCGCCUGCAGGUGGUGAGCUCUUGUGAUAAGAUAGCAUUCUGAGAAGUGCCAUGGAAACACAUGCCACUACUGAACAAUCAAAUAGAGCUAUCUAAAGACUCGGGAAACACUGAAAAGGGGAUUUCUAUCCUUCUAUUGGAGCUUCUAGUGGUAUAUUAUUAGCUCGGUCUAUUAAUUUAGCAAAUGUUCAGG
Molecule: long non-coding RNA, 469 nt
Organism: Musa acuminata AAA Group (dessert banana)
Lineage: Eukaryota; Viridiplantae; Streptophyta; Magnoliopsida; Zingiberales; Musaceae
Exons: 3
Source: RefSeq, a predicted model, not a curated record